ACUCCUACGGGAGGCAGCAGUGGGGAAUUUUGGACAAUGGGCGAAAGCCUGAUCCAGCAAUGCCGCGUGCAGGAUGAAGGCCUUCGGGUUGUAAACUGCUUUUGUACGGAACGAAAAAGCUCCUUCUAAUACAGGGGGCCCAUGACGGUACCGUAAGAAUAAGCACCGGCUAACUACGUGCCAGCAGCCGCGGUAAUACGUAGGGUGCGAGCGUUAAUCGGAAUUACUGGGCGUAAAGCGUGCGCAGGCGGUUAUGUAAGACAGAUGUGAAAUCCCCGGGCUCAACCUGGGAACUGCAUUUGUGACUGCAUGGCUAGAGUACGGUAGAGGGGGAUGGAAUUCCGCGUGUAGCAGUGAAAUGCGUAGAUAUGCGGAGGAACACCGAUGGCGAAGGCAAUCCCCUGGACCUGUACUGACGCUCAUGCACGAAAGCGUGGGGAGCAAACAGGAUUAGAAACCCUUGUAGUCCCAUGA
Molecule: ribosomal RNA, 474 nt
Filed under: uncultured organism
Description: partial 16S ribosomal RNA
Rfam family: Bacterial small subunit ribosomal RNA
Source: RNAcentral